Molecule: non-coding RNA, 252 nt
Organism: Arvicanthis niloticus (Nile rat)
Lineage: Eukaryota; Metazoa; Chordata; Mammalia; Rodentia; Muridae
Source: RefSeq, a predicted model, not a curated record
UUCUUCUGCUCUUGCAGAUCGGGAUCACCCUGCAGCCUGUGGCACUGCACAGGAACAUGUAUGCCUCAGUCGUAGAGGACAUGAUCUUAAAGGCCACGGAGCAGCUGGUGAGUGACAUCCUGAGACAGGCACUGGCGGUUGGAUACCAGACAGCAUCUCCCAACAGGAUUCCCAAAGAAAUCACAGUGAGUAAUAUUCAUCAGGCCGUUUGCAACAUUCCUUUUCUGGAUUUUCUCACGAACAAACACAUGG